GUACCUAUAGUCAGCGGUACAUAUACUAAAAUUGGAACAAUACAGAGAUGAGCAUGGCCCCUACACAAGGAUGACACACAAAUUUAUGAAGCAUUCCAUUAAAAA
This is a small nuclear RNA of Myotis lucifugus (little brown bat), 105 nucleotides long. NCBI's taxonomy places the organism in Eukaryota, Metazoa, Chordata, Mammalia, Chiroptera, Vespertilionidae. The record is from Ensembl.